UUCAAAAUCAGACAAAUCGAGAUUGAAGUGAACCAGUUCAUUUAUUAAGAAAAAAAAUUCCUUCUGUUCAAAAGAAAUUUUGGUUUUCCCUCAGGGCCAAAGCUUUUUUAAAGGGAUGGAACUUCUUUUCUGAGAAGCAGUAGCCUCUGCCUCACAGACAUAAUGCAUUACGUGUUGAGAGCAGCAGAGGCGACAGUACAUCUAUGAAUAUCAGUAGCAAGUAUUCCCUAAGGAGAGGAGAGCACAAGACCAUUAUUGAGAAGCCAGAUGAUGUCAAGUCACUACAAAAGCAAAGGCCAACUAGCUCGCCAUCUUCAGCUUCCAAAGCUACCAGAAAAAUAGUUUCCGAAAUUUGUAAAAUGCAAUUAAACUUGAGAAGUCAAAUAAAAGUGAGUUCUUACAGAAUUGCUUCCAAGAAAAUGUUUCCAAGUGUGCAUUCUCCUCAGCAGAAUGUCUGUGUACACAGUGUGCUUGUUCGACAAAUGAGAAAACUUCUACAACUCCAGCAGUUACUCAUGGCUAUUUAAACACUUCUUAUGCUGACUGCCUUAGUUAAUGAUCAGAUUUUAUAAUUCAAACAGUCUAAUCCUUGUAUACAUUUAUAAAGUUAAUUUUUAAGCUAAAACUGAACAAAAACUCACCCUUACCUGUAUGAGUAUCUUAUGUUCACUAAGGUUUCACACUCACAGUUCCCCGAUCUUCACUCUUCCAAUGUCCUUAAUCAGUCUGAGUAGUCUUACAUAACACCAAGUACAACUUGGAGAAAAAGGAAAUCAGACUAUUGAAGAAAUUCAAUAGCUAUGGUAAAUAUUGCAAGCACCUCCUCAAAAAAAAAAAAAAAAC
RNAcentral lists this long non-coding RNA (843 nucleotides) under Rattus norvegicus (Norway rat). Its description in RNAcentral is "long non-coding RNA NONRATT030419". The record is from RNAcentral. Lineage: Eukaryota; Metazoa; Chordata; Mammalia; Rodentia; Muridae.